This 908-nucleotide unclassified non-coding RNA is filed under the name Harpegnathos saltator (Jerdon's jumping ant). RNAcentral describes it as "uncharacterized LOC109504083, transcript variant X2". Lineage: Eukaryota; Metazoa; Arthropoda; Insecta; Hymenoptera; Formicidae. The record is from RNAcentral.
UAUUGUAUCAAACAUUAAAUAAAGUGUAAGAAUAGUUUCUUAUAUAUUUUGUAUCAUAUGUUUCACGCAUCUUUAAUAGUUCGUCAGUAAAACACUGCAUAAAAUUGGAGCAAAGAGAAACUUUUCAACAUAGAUACACAGUCGCAAUACAGCCGUGUUAGCGACUUCUUACGACGUGCGUCAUUCUUUCAUGUUAUAAAGUACUUUGUUAUUUGUGUUCCGUCAUCCGACAUGUGAACAAUAAGAGACACAUAUAUCUAGUGUGGGACACGAAAAAUGCUAAUUUCAAAAAACAAGUAUUACGACAAUUGCAAAUAAUUAAUAUCAGACAACAACAAAUGUCAGAAGAUAUUAUAUUAUUGAUGUCAGUAUAUUAUUGAUGAAAGCAAAUUCAGAGAAAAAUGAACCGAUUGUUUCAAAUAAAGAUUCUAUAUUUAAAACUUAUAAUUUCCCUCUGAAAACUGUAGCAGAAUUGGAAGAACUAGAAGAAUUUUUAAUCCAGAAUGAAAAUUUCAACACUUUUGUCAAAGAAAUUUUACAAAUUGGGGGAACAUCUUACAAAAAUAUGGUGAAACGUAUAUUGCCAAGAAUAAUGUCUAAUGAUUUGGCGAAGACAUAUAGUUGGAUAGGUUUUAAAGGAAAACAGAAGUUCUCGAAUCUUCGAACUUGCUCAGCAAUAUUAACAGCUACUCAAAAAACGCACGGUUGUUCCAAAUCUACGAAGAUGUAAUCAAAUAUUGGCUUGUAAAAGCUACUGAACGACAAAAGCAAUCAUAGAAAGAAAAGAUAUCGUAAGAUUGUUUCCUUCCAAGUAAAAGAACAUUGACUGUUCAACAUUUUCGAAGUUUGUUUAAUAAUUAAUAACAUGUUCGACAUAUAUUUACUAAUUAUUCAUUUCUUUAACAAUU